UCAUGGUAGCCUCCCAGGGGAGAAGGUUCUU
This 31-nucleotide non-coding RNA is filed under the name Homo sapiens (human). The record is from RNAcentral. Lineage: Eukaryota; Metazoa; Chordata; Mammalia; Primates; Hominidae.